Molecule: ribosomal RNA, 235 nt
Filed under: uncultured Eubacterium sp.
Lineage: Bacteria; Bacillati; Bacillota; Clostridia; Eubacteriales; Eubacteriaceae
Description: partial 16S ribosomal RNA
Rfam family: Bacterial small subunit ribosomal RNA
Source: RNAcentral
GAGGAAGGUGGGGAUGACGUCAAGUCAUCAUGCCCCUUAUACGGUGGGCUACACACGUGCUACAAUGGGCGGUACAGAGACCCCCGAACCUGUGAGGGGAAGCUAAUCUCAGAAAACCGUUCUUAGUUCGGAUUGUACUCUGCAACUCGAGUACAUGAAGUUGGAAUCGCUAGUAAUCGCAAAUCAGCUAUGUUGCGGUGAAUACGUUCUCGGGUCUUGUACACACCGCCCGUCA